RNAcentral lists this long non-coding RNA (1713 nucleotides) under Nicotiana benthamiana. RNAcentral's name for it is "long non-coding RNA (NBEN_LNC040720)". The record is from RNAcentral. Lineage: Eukaryota; Viridiplantae; Streptophyta; Magnoliopsida; Solanales; Solanaceae.
ACAUAUUCAAAGGUUCGACUGCUAACUACACAUGAGGAACUAAAAUUAGUUUUACAUUUAUGUUGCUGUUAACAUCAAACUACGAAUCUACACCAGCUAACGAAUAUCAACAAUCUGAUACAAAUCAUCAGUCCAAACAGCUCAGUCUUAUGUUCAAAUAGGUCAAUAGAAUAAUAUGAAACUACCGGAGAAUCUAACAUGAAAAUUGACAAAAAACAAAGCUAUUCUGCCAUUGAAUUCAUGUUCACAACUUGGAGAUUUCAGGAUGUAUACCUGGAUUUGAAUGAAUAGAAGAACAUGAGUCAGUCACAGAGUGUUAGACAGUAAUCAACAACUCAAAUCAGCAGCAAACAAAACCAACUUUAGGCCCGAAUCAACACCACAAUUCCCAGGAAGGAAUAACAGGGAAGCAACUCCAAGUGAAUCAACCAAACACACUUGUUUGAACUCAAAUUUACUUGAAUGUAAACCAUGAACACCUUUGAAAACUUCAGCAACCAAAAUUAAGCUAAAUGAUGCAAAUCAACACUAAACUUUAAAUUAAACCCAAAAUUACAAUAGAACAGUUUUUUUUAGUUUUCUGCUGUAUUUUCCUUUUGUUUUUGGUUUUCUUUGAAGAUUUGGAAUUUGAAUUUCAAAUUUCAUAUUUGAAACUUGAAGAACACUUUUUUAGGGAAUUUUCAGUUGUGGAAAACUUUGGAAUAUUUUUGGGGGAAAAUUUUUUGAGGCUCAAAACUUGUGAAUUAAGGUAUUGGGGCAGCUUUAUAUAGGUACAGAUGAGGGCAGCCUCAAAUUACUUCAGUUUUGCAUUACAUCCUUUUUUUAAUUUUCGUUUUUUGCAUAAGUAUCCCUAAAGUUGUGACUUGUUUUCCAAGUUGCUCUAUCUAAAGUCUGAAAUUUCAAUUGAGACCCCUUUUAGGUGCUUCUAGAAUCUGUUACCAAAGAUUUCUUGAGUUGAAUUCCCUAAACUAAGCCCCCAAGUACCGUGUUAUUACUGUUAGAGACAAUUAAGUCAAGCUGAACCAAAUACCCAAACAAAUUGGGUUUUAUCAAACAAGUUCCCCCAUUUUUUAGGCCUCAAAUCACCAAACCCCAACCAAAAAUUAAACUCAAAAGACUGAAUGGGCCAAUGGGAGAUACCCCAACAAAAUCAAAAUUUAAUAAUUUGCAAACAAAGUCGAAUGAAAUGAAAAUAAUGACAGAACUUAACAAGCUUGAAACAAACACGAGCAAACAAAUCUCAAAUCAAGCAGGCGUGGUCAACUUGGAGCGAGAGAAAAAAAAUGGCAGAGAGGAGAAGAGAGAGGCAAACAAUGCAUGGCAUUGGUACUGAGGGACUAAACAAAAGAAUAAAAUGAACAAAAACACCUAUUUGCAAAUGGACGAAACUCGGGCAACUUCAGGCAACUUUGAUUUGACCCGAAACUGGUAUUACCCGCGCGUUCUUUUGAGAACAGAUGAACAAUACUAGUCUCGAGCCACAUCGUUCAUAGAAAACAUGGCAGCUUUUCCGGAUUGCCUCCUUCUUCAUUUUCAGAUUUGAUUUGGACCUGGUCGUGUAAGGAUUUGGGGAGAAAUAGUAGCGGAUUGGGAAUAAGGAUAUGGUGAUUGUUGCACGGCCAGAUUUUGGUGGGGAUUGGAGUUGUUCCACCGGCGACAAUGGUGAUUAUAGGGCUUUGAGAUGAAGGGGAUGGAGUACUAGGGUGUUUGGAA